UACAGAGGGGGCGAGCGUUAUUCGGAAUUACUGGGCGUAAAGCGCGUGUAGGCGGAACUGUGUGUCAGAUGUGAAAUCCCCGGGCUCAACCCGGGAACUGCACCUGAAACUACAGAUCUUGAGUGUCGGAGAGGGCGGCGGAAUUCCUGGUGUAGAGGUGAAAUUCGUAGAUAUCAGGAGGAACACCGGUGGCGAAGGCGGCCGCCUGGACGACUACUGACGCUGAGACGCGAAAGCGUGGGGAGCAAACAGG
RNAcentral lists this ribosomal RNA (253 nucleotides) under uncultured bacterium. Its description in RNAcentral is "partial 16S ribosomal RNA". It matches the Rfam family "Bacterial small subunit ribosomal RNA", at positions 524 to 776 of the family's 1533-position model. The record is from RNAcentral.